GGACUACCCGGGUAUCUAAUCCUGUUUGCUACCCACGCUUUCGUGCAUCAGCGUCAGUUACGGUCCAGAAAGCCGUUUACACCACCGGUGUUCCUCCUGAUAUCUACGCAUUUCACCGCUACACCAGGAAUUCCACUUUCCUCUCCCGCACUCUAGCCUCUCAGUAUUCGGCGCACCCUCCCAGUUGAGCCGGGAGAUUUCACACCAAACUUAAAAAGCCGCCUACGCACCCUUUACGCCCAGUAACUCCGAACAACGCUUGCUGCCUACGUAUUACCGCGGCGGCUGGCAC
Molecule: ribosomal RNA, 292 nt
Filed under: uncultured Acidobacteriota bacterium
Lineage: Bacteria; Pseudomonadati; Acidobacteriota
Description: uncultured Acidobacteria bacterium partial 16S ribosomal RNA
Source: RNAcentral